This 253-nucleotide ribosomal RNA is filed under the name uncultured bacterium. RNAcentral's name for it is "partial 16S ribosomal RNA". It matches the Rfam family "Bacterial small subunit ribosomal RNA", at positions 524 to 776 of the family's 1533-position model. The record is from RNAcentral.
UACAGAGGUCUCAAGCGUUGUUCGGAUUCGUUGGGCGUAAAGGGUGUGUAGGUGGCGCGCUAAGUCGGGUGUGAAAUUUCGGAGCUUAACUCCGAAACUGCAUUCGAUACUGGCGUGCUUGAGGACUGGAGAGGAGACUGGAAUUCAUGGUGUAGCAGUGAAAUGCGUAGAGAUCAUGAGGAAGACCAGUGGCGAAGGCGGGUCUCUGGACAGUUCCUGACACUGAGACACGAAGGCCAGGGGAGCAAACGGG